AUUGAACGCUGGCGGAAUGCUUUACACAUGCAAGUCGAACGGUAGAGGGGGCAACCCCUCGAGAGUGGCGAACGGGUGAGUAAUAUAUCGGAACGUGCCCAGUCGUGGGGGAUAACGUAGCGAAAGUUACGCUAAUACCGCAUACGAUCUAAGGAUGAAAGCGGGGGAUCUCAAGACCUCGCGCGCUUCGAGCGGCCGAUGUCAGAUUAGGUAGUUGGGGGGAUAAAGGCUCACCAAGCCACCGAUCUGUAGCUGGUCUGUGCGGACGACCAGCCACACUGGGACUGAGACACGGCCCAGACUCCUACGGGAGGCAGCAGUGGGGAAUUUUGGACAAUGGGCGAAAGCCUGAUCCAGCAAUGCCGCGUGCAGGAUGAAGGCCUUCGGGUUGUAAACUGCUUUUGUACGGAACGAAAAGCCCCGGGUUAAUACCCUGGGGUCAUGACGGUACCGUAAGAAUAAGCACCGGCUAACUACGUGCCAGCCGCCGCGGUAA
Molecule: ribosomal RNA, 496 nt
Filed under: uncultured bacterium
Lineage: Bacteria
Description: partial 16S ribosomal RNA
Rfam family: Bacterial small subunit ribosomal RNA
Source: RNAcentral